AACGAACGCUGGCGGCAUGCCUAACACAUGCAAGUCGAACGAGACCUUCGGGUCUAGUGGCGCACGGGUGCGUAACGCGUGGGAACCUGCCCUUAGGUUCGGAAUAACUCCCCGAAAGGGGUGCUAAUACCGGAUAAUGUCUUCGGACCAAAGAUUUAUCGCCUUUGGAUGGGCCCGCGUUGGAUUAGCUAGUUGGUAGGGUAAAAGCCUACCAAGGCGACGAUCCAUAGCUGGUCUGAGAGGAUGAUCAGCCACACUGGGACUGAGACACGGCCCAGACUCCGACGGGAGGGAGCAGUGGGGAAUAUUGGACAAUGGGCGAAAGUGUGAUCCAGCAAUGCCGCGGGAGUGAUGAAGGCCUUAGGGUUGUAAAGCUCUUUUACCCGGGAUGAUAAUGACAGUACCGGGAGAAUAAGCUCCGGCUAACUACGUG
This 433-nucleotide ribosomal RNA is filed under the name uncultured bacterium. RNAcentral's name for it is "partial 16S ribosomal RNA". It matches the Rfam family "Bacterial small subunit ribosomal RNA", at positions 29 to 507 of the family's 1533-position model. The record is from RNAcentral.